ACCUGGUUGAUCCUGCCAGUAGUCAUAUGCUUGUCUCAAAGAUUAAGCCAUGCAUGUCUAAGUACACGCUCUAGCAAGGCGAAACCGCGAAUGGCUCAUUAAAUCAGUUAUGGUUCCUUAGAUCGUACACAUUUACUUGGAUAACUGUGGUAAUUCUAGAGCUAAUACAUGCAAUUUAGCCCUCGUCCCUUUUAGGGUGAGGGUGCCUUUAUUAUACUAAGACCAAACGGGGGCAACUCCGAUAGUCGUGGUGACUCUGAAUAACUAUUUUAUUAACUAUUCAGUCCUCGUACUGGCGACGCAUCUUUCAAGUGUCUGCCUUAUCAACUUUCGAUGGUAGGUUGUGCGCCUACCAUGUUUGUUACGGGUAACGGGGAAUCAAGGUUCGAUUCCGGAGAGGGAGCCUGAUAAACGGCUACUACAUCCAAGGAAGGCAGCAGGCGCGAAAAUUAUUCACUCCCGGCACGGGGAGGUAGUGACGAAAAAUAACAAUACGGGACUCAAACGAGGCUCCGUAAUUGGAAUGAGUACACUCUAAACCUUUUAACGAGGAUCUAUUGUAGGGCAAGUCUAGUGCCAGCAGCCGCGGUAACUCUAGCUCCAAUAGCGUAUAUUAAAGUUGUUGCGGUUAAAAAGCUCGUAGUUGGGUCUCAGUCGCGCUCCCUUCGAUGCGUUGCAAAGCGUUUAUCGUUGGGGCCGACAGCACGUUGGUGGGCCCGGUUGGCUUUUACCGGUUGAUCGGGUUCUCCGGCAAUUUUACUUUGAAAAAAUUAGGUUGCUCAAAGCAGGCUGGUGCCUGAAUAUUGGUGCAUGGAAUAAUGGAAUAGGACCUCGGUUCUAUUUUGUUGGUUUCCGGAUCCCGAGGUAAUGAUUGGGAGGGACAGACGGGGGCAUUCGUAUUGCGGCGCUAGAGGUGAAAUUCUUGGACCGCUGCAAGACGAACUACUGCGAAGCAUUUGCCAAGAAUGUUUUCAUUAAUCAAGAACGAAAUUUAGAGGUUCGAAGGCGAUCAGAUACCGCCCUAGUUCUAACCAUAAACGAUGCCAACCAGCGAUCCGCCUGAGUUCCUUAAACGACUCGGCGGGCAGCUUCCGGGAAACCAAAGUUUAAAAAAUAAAUAAAUAAAAUAAAAAACAAGACUGUUUUGAGAUGCUCGCGUAUCAAUUCACGAGUAUGUAAAACUGCUAAAAAUUUAAAAUAUCUAAAACCUACAAUAUUCAUGUUUAUAAAUAUAAUAAAAAUUAAUAUAAGAGAAAAUAAUAUAUAAAAUAUCAAUAUAUAAAAAUAAAUUAAUAUACACAUUUAAAAUAUAAGAAUUGAAAAUCAGUAAUUUGUUAUAUAUAUAUAUAUUUUUUUAUUUAUUGUUACAAAAGCACGAAGUCCAAAGGACUAUUGUGCUGUGCUAGUAUUAUUUACAUAUAUAUGAUUAAUUAUUUACACGAUGGAUUAGUAUUGUUUUGUAAAUUAUUGUACAAAUAGUUCUGAACUUAACAAAGUUCUCAUAAGAUAGAGUAUAUACACAAAGAGAAUUUGGUAAUGUUUCAAAGUAUCUACAUACAAUUUGAUUAGUCAGAGGGCAAGAUAAAAGAAGAUGCUCUGGUGAUUCAACAUCUAAGCGGCAUUCACAUGUUGGAUCAUUGAUAGCAUUCAGUUUGAAUAGGAAACUUAAGAAGGGUCCUUU
This 1681-nucleotide ribosomal RNA is filed under the name Cordylochernes scorpioides. RNAcentral's name for it is "5.8S ribosomal RNA". The stretch from base 3 to 1118 matches the Rfam family "Eukaryotic small subunit ribosomal RNA", at positions 4 to 1116 of the family's 1831-position model. Lineage: Eukaryota; Metazoa; Arthropoda; Arachnida; Pseudoscorpiones; Chernetidae. The record is from RNAcentral.